CCAAACCACCUAAGUAAAACAAACCUAGUUAUAGGUUAACACCUGGUCUUUAUUAAUUGGUUGGGUCAUGGGUGUACUGCCUUAGACACUACUGUGCGGUCUACCUGAACCGCUAAACCCUAAUUCCAACCUCCAAUCUAUCAGAUAUCACCUAUAAAAGUCACCUAAUCUCUUUAGCCUUUGAAAGGAAAUCCCAAAUGGAAAAGAGAAAAAGAGAGCCGCCGUCUCUGAACAAAAGAGCGAUCGGCACUCUUUAAGCUGUUGAUUCUGGAAUCAGGUCUGUGUGUGUGUGGUGAGGGGUCAGAAUUGAAACUCCAAAUUGAUAACUUUAGAGGACAUAUGUUGAUAAGGAAGAGUCAGCUGGAUUGUGAAUUUAGAAGAUAAUAUGAAUAAACCUAUAUGCUUGGUUGGGGGUACUCAAAUGCCAUCACAAUUGUAACAACCUAAUCAUCUUUUAAAUGCUUUUGAUAUGUCAUUGCAAAGGCAUGCUCUCUCUCUAUUUUUUCUUCACUUACCAAUGAAUGGAAAUUAUAGUGUUUUAUUAAUGGGAACUUUUAUGUGAAUGCUGGCACCAAAAUUCAUAGCCUGUUAUGUACUCAUAUUUCAGACUGUACGAGCAUGGUGCAAUAUUUAAAUCUUUCUUUUGCUUGUUCAUUUUUUAGCUUGGCUUGUCUUUGAAAAAUGACUAGUGGAGCCGAACAGGGGAGAGACAUGCUGGCUUUG
Molecule: long non-coding RNA, 723 nt
Organism: Quercus robur (English oak)
Lineage: Eukaryota; Viridiplantae; Streptophyta; Magnoliopsida; Fagales; Fagaceae
Exons: 2
Source: RefSeq, a predicted model, not a curated record